GUGGGGAAUAUUGCACAAUGGGGGAAACCCUGAUGCAGCAACGCCGCGUGAAGGAAGAAGGUCUUCGGAUUGUAAACUUUUGUCUUGUGGGACGAUAAUGACGGUACCACAGGAGGAAGCAACGGCUAACUACGUGCCAGCAGCCGCGGUAAUACGUAGGUUGCGAGCGUUGUCCGGAUUUACUGGGUGUAAAGGGUGCGUAGGCGGGAACGCAAGUCAGAUGUGAAAGACCACGGCUCAACCGUGGUACUGCAUUUGAAACUGUGUUUCUUGAGUGCAGGAGAGGUAAGCGGAAUUCCCAGUGUAGCGGUGAAAUGCGUAGAUAUUGGGAGGAACACCAGUGGCGAAGGCGGCUUACUGGACUGUAACUGACGCUGAAGCACGAAAGCGUGGGGAUCAAACAGGAUUAGAAACCCUAGUAGUCC
This 425-nucleotide ribosomal RNA is filed under the name uncultured bacterium. Its description in RNAcentral is "bacterial SSU rRNA". It matches the Rfam family "Bacterial small subunit ribosomal RNA", at positions 354 to 796 of the family's 1533-position model. The record is from RNAcentral.